AUUAUGCAUAACUGGCAUAGGAAGAGGGAAAGUUGACAUAAUUCUCCAUCUUAACUCUCCAGAUAUACAAGGAACCAGAAUGUCCAACAUGAGGAGUAUGAUCCAUCGAUGUCUUGUGAUCUUGUUCCUGUGACUCAUUGUCCAAGAGCUGGAUCCUUCGAGUGAGGAGCACAAUAACCUACAGAGCUGCUGGUAGAAUGCAGAGGGAACUGGAGCACUCUCCAUGACUCUUCGGCUCUGUGUCACAUGCUCAGGCACCUGCCUGCCAAUUAUGAUGGAGAAACUCCCAAACUCUGUGUUGAACCAUGGGGAUCAGGGAGUAUCCUGACAAGGACUGAGAGUUUCAAGAAGAGCCAGGCUCAAGCUUCAAGGGGACAUACGCCUGACCACCCACCAGCCAACAAUGCAACUCUGGAUACAAGUGCCUGUGCCCUUCCUCCAGUUGCUGGAUCUAUGCUCCAUCAGCUUUCAGGAGCUCCAGCUAUGAAGUCCUGGUCAAGCCAGUCAAGAAUGGUUCAAUGAUCCCAGAUCCUGACUUUUGUUUGCAACAGGUACUGGAACUUGGACCACCACCAACAGGAGCACAAGAAUCCAACCAGCUGCAGGGUGGAGAGCAGAGACAACUGGAGACUUCCCCAUAAAACUUGUACAUUCCUUCUUCAGGCUUCCAAUGCCUAAUCUGUGAUUCUAGACACAGGACAGGAGGAGACUGAGAGGUGAAUGCUGGCCAGGCCUGGGUGUUCUGCUGGGGCAGUGACCUGCAAAUGAUGUUCUGUUGACUAAGUUGUAAGCUGGUAAUUGGUGAAAUCUAAGAGGCUCUUUGAAAUGUACAGUGUGUGAAUCUGUAGCAUGCUGGGCACAAAAUCUUAACAGUAAUGUUAUUUUCUAUAACCUCUAAGACUGUUUAAUAAUUCCAGUUAUUUACUCAUGUUUUCUUUAGUUUUGUUUGAUGAGGUGGCUGGAAUUAUCAUCAUAUAGAUUCACACCGUCUAUGAAUGAAAAUUCUACUGGCAGUGCCACUGAGGCGAGCAACUUAUCCUCCCUCCUUCACUUCCACCCUGU
Mus musculus (house mouse) is the source of this 1062-nucleotide long non-coding RNA. RefSeq annotates it as predicted gene, 40947. The record is from RefSeq and is a predicted model, not a curated record. The transcript is spliced from 4 exons. NCBI's taxonomy places the organism in Eukaryota, Metazoa, Chordata, Mammalia, Rodentia, Muridae.